This 119-nucleotide ribosomal RNA is filed under the name Aphanizomenon flos-aquae WA102. The record is from RNAcentral. Lineage: Bacteria; Bacillati; Cyanobacteriota; Cyanophyceae; Nostocales; Aphanizomenonaceae.
GUCUACGGCCAUACCAAGUUGAAAACACCAGUUCUCGUCCGAUCACUGAAGUUAAGCAACUUUGGGCUGCGUUAGUACUUGGAUGGGUGACCGCCUGGGAAUACGCAGUGUCGUAGGCU